Pygocentrus nattereri (red-bellied piranha) is the source of this 676-nucleotide long non-coding RNA. The record is from Ensembl. Lineage: Eukaryota; Metazoa; Chordata; Actinopteri; Characiformes; Serrasalmidae.
AUGAAUGUUUAUGAGGACGCGCCGUCGGGGAGCAGGAUGGAGAUGUCUGAGUGCGUGAAGACGGAGGACGUGUACCAGACUCUCCACCAUCCUCCUCCAGUGAAGAACCCAAACCCAACACACGAGCCAGUGAGGGGCUGCAGGAUAAAGACUGUGCUGAUGGUCUUCAACACUCUGCUAUUGAUCGUCAUCCUGAUAUUGAUCGGAAUCUUCACUGCAAAUCAAUUACAAAGUGCUGAAGUGAACAAGCCAGAACCACAAAGUGCUGAUGUAAAGGAAACGAAAGCCUCUGGUAAGGACAGUGAGAGAGAGGAGCUGUGGCGUCUCCACGACGAUGUGUUUUAUCUGUUCUGGGAGGCUGAGGGGAACUGCAGCGAGGCCCUGAAGUUCUGUAAAGAUAGAAACUCCGAAAUUGCCACCACUUCAGGCAGGGAUAGAUUUGAUCACUGGAUAUUUCUCGAUGAAUCUUUUCACCACCCUGCAAAUCCUGAUCACGAGGCAAGUGAAUUCUUAAAUCUAGUCGAUGUCUAAUUUCCCUAUUAUGAGAGCACUGACAACAUAAGUUAAUGCAUUUCCAGAUACACUAUAUUUCCAAAAGUAUUCAGUCACCCAUCCAAAUCAAUGAAUUCAGGUGUUCCAACCACUUCCAUGGCCACAGGUGUAUAAAACCAAAAAC